UUGACAGUGGUAAGUACAUACAUUUAAAAAUGUACUGGAUUUUCUGUUUUCUCCUCUAAAGAUCAAAAGCAUCCUUAAAUUCCUUCCUUAAAAAUACUUUUUUUGGAGUUGCAAAUGAUAUUGAUGCUAUUGUUAUCACAUUCCGAGGCACUUAAGAAACCAGAUAUGGAAUUAAAGUUUGGUUUGGUCCCAAACUAAUUUCCAAAUCGAGUUUAGUUCAUGCUUAAAACCAGCUAGGAAUGAUGCUUGGAACGAUGAUUAUUGUUAUAACAUGUGAUUUGGGAUUGAACUGAUUAGAAAGCGAUGUUACUACACUGGAUUUAUUAUGUGCAUACCACAUGCUUGAUGAAAUGCCGUUGGGCAUCUAAGGUGAUUUUGGUACUUGUGAGUUGUAAUCCUCUAUUAAUCUACAUGUUGAUAGUUAACACG
Molecule: long non-coding RNA, 429 nt
Filed under: Helianthus annuus (common sunflower)
Lineage: Eukaryota; Viridiplantae; Streptophyta; Magnoliopsida; Asterales; Asteraceae
Description: hypothetical non coding rna
Source: RNAcentral